This 317-nucleotide long non-coding RNA is filed under the name Chloebia gouldiae (Gouldian finch). Its description in RNAcentral is "Erythrura gouldiae (Gouldian finch) lncRNA (ENSEGOG00005003113.1)". Lineage: Eukaryota; Metazoa; Chordata; Aves; Passeriformes; Passeridae. The record is from RNAcentral.
CCGAAGAAAAGAUAUCCUUUUCCACUCUCUGUCUCCCUUGAAAGAACUUGAGGUUUUUGCUUUCACUCUCCAAACCUGUGCAGAUACCAGCCUUUUCAUCUUAUGGCUUCUCCACAUGGCCAGAAGAUUGUUAUGACCUCUAUGCAGUUCAGCCUUGGAUGGAACUCCUUACAGGCUGAAUUUGAGCCCUGGCACAAGCGCACUGAGUCCUGCUUUAAUCCUUCUCAGCCAGUUUGCUCAGACAAAUGCAGGAUUACAUUGGCAAAACCAGAACUUGCAGGUGGGCAAGCUCUUGGGAAAAUAAACACUGUUAUUUU